RNAcentral lists this ribosomal RNA (460 nucleotides) under uncultured bacterium. RNAcentral describes it as "partial 16S ribosomal RNA". It matches the Rfam family "Bacterial small subunit ribosomal RNA", at positions 338 to 795 of the family's 1533-position model. The record is from RNAcentral.
CCUACGGGAGGCAGCAGUGAGGAAUAUUGGUCAAUGGACGAAAGUCUGAACCAGCCAAGUAGCGUGAAGGAUGACUGCCCUAUGGGUUGUAAACUUCUUUUAUAUGGGAAUAAAAUGUUCCACGUGUGGGAUUUUGUAUGUACCCUAUGAAUAAGGAUCGGCUAACUCCGUGCAAGCAGCCGCGUUAAUACGGAGGAUUCGAGCGUUAUCCGGAUUUAUUGGGUUUAAAGGGAGCGUAGGUGGAUUGUUAAGUCAGUUGUGAAAGGUGGCGGCUCAACCGUAAAACUGCAGUUGAAACUGGCAGUCGUGAGUACAGUAGAGGUAGGCGGAAUUCGUGGUGUAGCGGUGAAAUGCUUAGAUAUCACGAAGAACUCAGAUUGCGAAGGCAGCUCACUGGACUGCAACUGACGCUGAGGCUCGAAAGCGUGGGUAUCAAACAGGAUUAGAUACCCCAGUAGUC